Long non-coding RNA from Gallus gallus (chicken), 1250 nucleotides. NCBI's taxonomy places the organism in Eukaryota, Metazoa, Chordata, Aves, Galliformes, Phasianidae. The record is from Ensembl.
UCCACCCCUUCUGGUUGCACAGCUGAAUUGCCUUCACCUGUGCUCCCAGGGUUGACCUGGUCCUUUCCCCAGAGUCCUGCGACCUGCAGAAGAUUUAUAACUGUUGCUGAGAAGCAGGUGCCAGAAUGGCCAUGGUAGAUUGGGAAAUUGCAUUCCCCUGAGAUAAAUCCAGUUCCAGGAGAUGGUCAGGGCUAGUCCAGAACUUUGAAGAGAGCACAGUCAACUUGAAUCCCAACUGCUGAAAUUUAAGACUGUGAAAGACACUCACUCCUCUGAGGUGGUAGAUGAAUGAAAUCCACCCCAGUCCCCCACCACAGACUUGGGAGGCCAAAUGCUUUGACUGAAGGAUCAUAGAAAUCAGAACGUAUCCACACAAAGCAACGCUAUGUGUGUAUUCAGGGUGGCAUUGGCAUUCUAUAGUCAGUUCUCCCCUUGCUACCUGCUGCACCGAAGUCUUUGCAAGGAGAAAAGUCUAAUUUAGAAGAACCACAAACCUCCAAGAAACUCAACUCGUAUUUCCUUUUAAAGCUUGCUGAGAUCAGCAGAAUGAAGUCGCUCUGAGAACAUGGAGAAGAUAUCACUAGAGAAAUAAAAACUGGGAGAAGUGCCAAACUAAAGUCACGUUGUGUGGAGAUAACCACACGUAAAAUGUUACCAUGUCUGUUUGAAGGCUUGCACUCUAAUCUAUUUGUGUCUCCAACAGCUGCAGCUGAAACCAGCAAUCAACAAAGCCCCUUGUUUUUAUUGGAGUUGAAGUGGCUUGUUGAAAAUGGAUUGGAUUACGGGGAUCAAUCAGCAGCAGGUCGAGGAUGCAGAGGGAGCUCUGCCAAUGCAGCAGGCUGCCAGGAGCAGCAAAAAUCCUUGGGCUAGUGACACGUCCUAAUGUAUUGGAAAAUCCACUGUUUUACAAAGAGCUUUGGAGAUAGGAAGUGGAUCAAGUUGCAGAAGAGUGCAAAAAUAACAGUAAUUUUCUCCCAAGUUCCUUUUGUUAAUUUGUACUUGGCUUUAAGGAAAUAAAUUCCAUAGAGAUGCUGCCUGAGUGUCCAGCCAGUGUCUGGAGACGACUGGGAAUAGGACAGAUGCUAAAGCAUGAUCUUUCCUGAGUCACAAUUUAGGAAACAGAACAUUUCUGAAUUUCAAUAGCAGCCAUCUUGGCAAUCUGAAAGUUGCCAUGUAGUUCUGUUCUCUCCAGUUCUGGAUGCUCCCUAAAUAAUGACGAUUGUUGUUGCUUUCCAUUAAAUUACUGAAUU